RNAcentral lists this ribosomal RNA (494 nucleotides) under uncultured bacterium. Its description in RNAcentral is "partial 16S ribosomal RNA". It matches the Rfam family "Bacterial small subunit ribosomal RNA", at positions 28 to 507 of the family's 1533-position model. The record is from RNAcentral.
GACGAACGCUGGCGGCGCGCUUAACACAUGCAAGUCGAACGGAAAGGCCUGCUUUUCCUUGUGGAUUGCGGGUACUCGAGUGGCGAACGGGUGAGUAACACGUGAGUGAUCUGCCCCCAACUUGGGUAUAAGCCUGGGAAACUGGGUCUAAUUCCCGAUAGGACUGCAGGGUGGUGCCUGUGGUGGAAAACGAUUUUCUAGUGGUUGGGGAUGAGCUCGAGGCCUAUCAGCUUGUUGGUGGGGUAAUGGCCUACCAAGGCGGGGACGGGUAGCCGGCCUGGGAGCGGGGACAGUGGCAUUGAGACUGGGAUCAGACCCAUACGCCAGCGAGAAGCAGGAGAUUUGAAGAAAUGGGAGAAAGCGGAAGCCAGAAGCGGCGAGGGCGCGAGGAAGGUGACGGGCUUCGAAAUGUAAGCUCCUUUGGAAGAAGAGGAAGCCACCUAGGUGGAAGGGUGGUGACGGUAGUGGAAGAAGAAGCACCGGCUAACUACGUG